This is a long non-coding RNA of Rana temporaria (common frog), 806 nucleotides long. RefSeq lists it as uncharacterized. The record is from RefSeq and is a predicted model, not a curated record. NCBI's taxonomy places the organism in Eukaryota, Metazoa, Chordata, Amphibia, Anura, Ranidae. The transcript has 2 exons.
UGGAUACUGGGAUGUUGCGAUGUGCCUUGCAAUAAAUAAAUGUUGGGUCCUUGUGCCUUUAGCCCUAAUUUGGGAAAAAAGAAGUAUAUAUUAACCUUGUAUGACCCUGGCUAGGUCACAAGGUAUAUUGUUGAUGAGUCCUGUCAGGCCCAAGGAUGGACAGAUGUCUUGUCACAUUUUCUUCUCAGUAUGGGUAGGCUAAACUAUAUUCCAUAAGGAAACCAAUUACAUAAAUUAGCUGUUGACUAGCCUACUGCUUACCCUCCUUUCCUUGGUAAUCUAUAAAAAGGCUAAUAAAUUCAUCACUUUUAUAAAUGAUGUUCUCAAACUUCAGAACUGAGAUGGUGAACUCCUGUUUUUAUUCAGCGUGAUGACAAAUGUAUGUGAAUAAUACAGAAAUGGUGUGAGAAGCUGAAUGGAUUGUGACAUGCCAAGGGUGUGCCAUGCUGUGCAAGUCCAUGAUCUCUUCAUAAUAGCUGUCUUCAUAUACCAGAUUUGAAUGUGACAGUACUGUGAAACAGUUGAAAGGCAGUAGGUAGGAAAGUCACAGUGCUGACUGAAAGUUGGUCUGUACUCUGCAAUGUGUUUAUUUUGGUGUGCUGCAUACUUUCCUACUGAUCGUCAGACUCCAGAUAAAGAUGUUCCCACAAGUAUUGGAUUCAAGCUUUCAUGCAAAAAGGCCUUUCUUCCAUAAAUGUUUUAUUUAUCGUUAGUAUAGGGCCCUACAAAGUGUUGUGGCACUUGAAAUUUGCAAAUUCCAACUGUUCAGCAUCUGAAACCUGGGAUUAAAAACAACUUGAACAUGA